GAUGAAGAACGCAGCGAAAUGCGAUAAGUAAUGUGAAUUGCAGAAUUCCGUGAAUCAUCGAGUCUUUGAACGCACAUUGCGCCCUCUGGUAUUCCGGAGGGCAUGCCUGUCCGAGCGUCAUUGCUGCCCUCAAGCACGGCUUGUGUGUUGGGCCCCGCCCCCCGAUCCCGGGGGGCGGGCCCGAAAGGCAGCGGCGGCACCGCGUCCGGUCCUCGAGCGUAUGGGGCUUUGUCACCGCUCUGUAGGCCCGGCCGGCGCUUGCCGAUCAACCAAACUUUUUUCCAGGUUGACCUCGGAUCAGGUAGGGAUACCCGCUGAACUUAAGCAUAUCAAUAAGCGGAGGA
This 344-nucleotide unclassified non-coding RNA is filed under the name soil metagenome. RNAcentral describes it as "partial contains 5.8S ribosomal RNA, internal transcribed spacer 2, and large subunit ribosomal RNA". The stretch from base 1 to 120 matches the Rfam family "5.8S ribosomal RNA", at positions 35 to 154 of the family's 154-position model. The record is from RNAcentral.